This 253-nucleotide ribosomal RNA is filed under the name uncultured bacterium. Its description in RNAcentral is "partial 16S ribosomal RNA". It matches the Rfam family "Bacterial small subunit ribosomal RNA", at positions 524 to 776 of the family's 1533-position model. The record is from RNAcentral.
UACGGAGGAUGCAAGCGUUAUCCGGAAUGAUUGGGCGUAAAGCGUCCGCAGGUGGCUGUGUAAGUCUGCUGUUAAAGCGUGAGGCUCAACCUCAUAAAAGCAGUGGAAACUACACAGCUAGAGUGCGUUCGGGGCAGAGGGAAUUCCUGGUGUAGCGGUGAAAUGCGUAGAGAUCAGGAAGAACACCGGUGGCGAAGGCGGCAUCCUGGACCGGCAUUGACGCUGAGGCGCGAAAGCCAGGGGAGCAAACGGG